This 376-nucleotide ribosomal RNA is filed under the name uncultured bacterium. RNAcentral's name for it is "bacterial SSU rRNA". It matches the Rfam family "Bacterial small subunit ribosomal RNA", at positions 521 to 896 of the family's 1533-position model. The record is from RNAcentral.
UAAUACGGGGGGUGCGAGCGUUGUCCGGAUUCACUGGGCGUAAAGGGCGCGUAGGCGGCUCGGUCAGUCCGGCCUUUAAGAGCGGGGCUCACCCCCGUGGGGGGUCGGGGACGGCCGAGCUGGGGCGCGGCAGAGGGGGACGGAAUGCCGGGUGUAGUGGUGAAAUGCGUAGAGAUCCGGCGGAACACCGGUGGUGAAGACGGUCCCCUGGGCCGAGGCCGACGCUGAGGCGCGAGAGCGCGGGGAGCGAACCGGAUUAGAUACCCGGGUAGUCCGCGCCGUAAACGGUGGGCACUAGGUGUGGCGGGUAUCGACCCCCGCCGUGCCGUCGCGAACGCAUGGAGUGCCCCGCCUGGGGAGUACGGCCGCAAGGCUA